CAGAAACGAGGCCAGGAAGAAGAGGUCGUGGUGAAGUGGCUGCAGGCAAACUCUUCAUCUUGGGUGUGUAAAUAUGGAAACCCCCGACAGAGAAUGACUUCCACAUGGGACCCGCCUGUCACUGUCUAUUCAUGUGGCACGUUUGUCCAAGGCUCCGCGUUCUCCAUCAUGUAGGGCUGGCUGCUCCAUCGGGGGAACCAGGGACCUUUCUUUAAAUAGUGUGAACACAGAUGUCAAGGACCUCACACACUGAGGAGAAAUCAUCUGGAGAACCAGAAUCAGCCACUUCAGUGAGCACAUCUGUGUGGUGCCAUAGGCUGUUGUGGGGCCCAUUCUCAAAUGGCCAGAAACAGGGGUAAUGUCAUAUUGUGCAAGUUCUCAAUCUUCAUCACAUGGAGUUCUUUUGGACCAGCGUAUGAUUUUGCUUCUUAAGUCAUUUCUCUCUCUACACGUGAGAGAAAACCUGAGAUGGAGAGCUGAGUGGACAUUCCUUCAGUGGACUACUAAUUUUUUAACUUGUGUUUUUGAUUCUCUUUCUCAAAGAGAAAAAUACUCCACAGUAUUCAUAAGUCAGAUAAGCAGAUGUGGACACGCCUGCAUAUUUUCCUUUUUAGAUACUAGUAGAAUGCUUGUUGAUGGUAUCAGGAGAUGAUUCCUCUGUUGGGAUCUUCACUACAGUAAAUAGAAGGCAAUCACUUUUGUUUCCAUGAAGCUAAGAUGUCAACUCCUCAAUAAACAGAUGCAGGGCUCCAGGCAUCACUCUGAGUUCAGCCUUUCUGCCCCGCCCACAGCACAGCACACCAGGAUUACAACCCGAGCUCCCACAGGAAAGCAGUGAGGACAGCAGGUUCGUCCUGCAGUAGAAAGGGAAGGUUGAGAGCCUGGGGGCCAGGAUGGCAUGGGGUUAAGUGAGAAUUGUGGCUAAUGGAAAUGUUGACCAUAAAUUGGAAAGAAGAAAAGGACAAGUUCAACGUCAACCUCCUGUUUAUCUAGAGCUUUAGAAACAUUUGAAAAGAACAUGCUUUAACUCCCACAAGUCCUCUUAGAAAUUCAGAUUCAAGCUGAAGACGCCAAAGAAAUUGGCUUGCCGGCGGCAGUGGUUCACCUAACGGAAAGGUCACCACCCUUGGGCUCUGGAAGUCAGCAACGAUAACUUUUUCAGUUUGGCCUGAAGUUUGAUUGUUUUUGGAGUUAGGUACGCCUUGUGCCUGUUUCCAUAUGUGUCUAUAAAGCUACAAUCUGUUUUCUUCUACUACAAAAUCCAGUGUGCUAGUGUGUGGACAACUGAGAAUUUCUGCAAGAUAGAGAGGAAGAAGCACACAGUAUGAAAGAAAAGGAUUCCUAUUUCAGAAUCCCUUUGGGAAGCCUUUCAGUGAAGGCACGGGGGUCUUGCGGUGUGCAGCCGAAUUUCUACGGCCUCACGUGCUCUGCUUCUGUUUUCUCUUUCUCCUCCUUCCUUUGGAGUUGCAUCGUGGGACUGUUCCAGACUCCCUUUCUAGUCAUGCUUCCUGGGAAAACCUUCAGAAAGUAUUCAUCUCAGAUCACCCUGGACAAUUUGCUGAGGGUCAGUCCUGAGCGUGGACACAGCUUGUGAGCAUGUGAUCUUUAAUGUGAUGAAUUAUGUCUUUAAUAGUUGCCAGUCCCUCUGGUCCUCCUCCCAGAAGUCACAUCCAUCUGCUGAACUGGCUCUGUGCUCCCCUGGUUCAACAAGUCAAGGAGUGAAGCGAUUCACACAGACAGCGGGUGAUGUCGCAGGAGGAGUGGUGGCCAGGGAGCGUGGUGACCUGGGACCAGCCCUAAUUCUGCCCUAACUGGGCAGCUCUAGAGAGGUCUUUUCCAUGUCCUAAGCCCCAGCUGUCUUCUCUGGAAAAUGCAGAAAGUUAGAUGAGAUGAUCUCUCAUUUCCAGCUUGUGAUUCUAUCCUGUUUUCUCUCUUGCUGGAAUUAUGCUCUGUGGCGGGAGAGGAAUUAGCCGUGUCACAUCUCAUAUCUUACAUUUUUUGGUACUUGCUAUUCUGCACAACUCAAACUCCCUGGCAGAGCAGAGAGUGUUUAAUGUUUACUUGUCAAAGGCAAUCCAAACAUGAAGCCAUCAUUUAAGUCAGUUGACUUAUUCUACGGCAUAUGCAUGGGUCAAAAUGGAACAUAACCUUGAAUCCCUUUGAAAAUGCUCUUCUCAAUUUAAAAUGAUGAAGGCUGUGUAUUAAAAUAGCAGGGUGGAAUUUUUCUCUCACGUGAAGUAAAAGAGAUCUUUCCUUGCUAAUUAUUUUUUGACAUGUUACUGACAAUGUGGACAGUAAAUAUAAUCAGAGCAUUCUACAUCAAACAUUUUGCUCCUCUUGGGCACCAUUAAGGAGGUAAAUAACCCCUGUCUAUAGAUGGUCCUGAGUUUGAACACAUACAGACUUUUGAAACACAUUGUUUCAGCCUAUGAAUUAUUUCCUCCAGGACUAAAAUGUAAGUGUACACAGCUCAGGUAGCAGAGAACCACGUUCUCUGAGGCCCUGGGACCUGCGAUGCUAGUGAGAAAAUUAAGCUUGUUCUUCCCUAAGAGGCAGAAACACUGGUGCCCCCCUUCAUCCUCUGCAGUCCUGGACUAAGCUGGGUGCAGCCCUGGCUGCCCUGGCUCUGGUAGUUCCCUGUCCCUGCCCUCUACAGUCAGUCCUCCUCCCUGCUGCAACUUGAC
RNAcentral lists this long non-coding RNA (2684 nucleotides) under Homo sapiens (human). RNAcentral describes it as "HSALNT0116543". Lineage: Eukaryota; Metazoa; Chordata; Mammalia; Primates; Hominidae. The record is from RNAcentral.